RNAcentral lists this ribosomal RNA (465 nucleotides) under uncultured bacterium. Its description in RNAcentral is "partial 16S ribosomal RNA". It matches the Rfam family "Bacterial small subunit ribosomal RNA", at positions 28 to 507 of the family's 1533-position model. The record is from RNAcentral.
GACGAACGCUGGCGGCGUGCUUAACACAUGCAAGUCGAACGGAAAGGCCCUGCUUGCAGGGUACUCGAGUGGCGAACGGGUGAGUAACACGUGGGUGAUCUGCCCUGCACUUCGGGAUAAGCCUGGGAAACUGGGUCUAAUACCGGAUAGGAGCCAUUUUUAGUGUGAUGGUUGGAAAGUUUUUUCGGUGUAGGAUGAGCUCGCGGCCUAUCAGCUUGUUGGUGGGGUAAUGGCCUACCAAGGCGGCGACGGGUAGCCGGCCUGAGAGGGUGGACGGCCACAUUGGGACUGAGAUACGGCCCAGACUCCUACGGGAGGCAGCAGUGGGGAAUAUUGCACAGUGGGCGCAAGCCUGAUGCAGCGACGCCGCGUGGGGGAUGACGGCCUUCGGGUUGGAAACUCCUUUCGCUAGGGACGAAGCUUUUUGUGACGGUACCUAGAUAAGAAGCACCGGCUAACUACGUG